This 73-nucleotide transfer RNA is filed under the name Mustela putorius furo (domestic ferret). It matches the Rfam family "tRNA". Rfam says of the family: Transfer RNA (tRNA) molecules are approximately 80 nucleotides in length. Their secondary structure includes four short double-helical elements and three loops (D, anti-codon, and T loops). Lineage: Eukaryota; Metazoa; Chordata; Mammalia; Carnivora; Mustelidae. The record is from Rfam by way of RNAcentral.
GCAUGCCUGGCUCAGUUGGUAGAGCGUGAGACUCCCGAUCUUGGGGUCGUGAGUCCAAGCCCCACAGUGGGCU